Molecule: ribosomal RNA, 253 nt
Filed under: uncultured bacterium
Lineage: Bacteria
Description: partial 16S ribosomal RNA
Rfam family: Bacterial small subunit ribosomal RNA
Source: RNAcentral
UACGUAGGGACCGAGCGUUGUCCGGAAUCAUUGGGCGUAAAGAGCGUGUAGGCGGCCGACUAAGUCCCGCGUGAAAUCUCACGGCUCAACCGUGAGCGGCCGCGGGAAACUGAUCGGCUAGAGUGUGGGAGAGGAGAGUGGAAUUCCUGGUGUAGCGGUGAAAUGCGCAGAUAUCAGGAAGAACACCCGUGGCGAAGGCGGCUCUCUGGAACGCAACUGACGCUGAGACGCGAAAGCGUGGGGAGCAAACAGG